Molecule: ribosomal RNA, 373 nt
Filed under: uncultured bacterium
Lineage: Bacteria
Also listed under: 1 other name
Description: bacterial SSU rRNA
Rfam family: Bacterial small subunit ribosomal RNA
Source: RNAcentral
GGGGGGAGCAAGCGUUGUUCGGAUUUACUGGGCGUAAAGGGCGCGUAGGCGGCCACCGCAAGUCGACUGUGAAAUCUCCGGGCUUAACCCGGAAAGGUCAGCCGAUACUGCGGGGCUAGAGUGCAGAAGGGGCAACUGGAAUUCUCGGUGUAGCGGUGAAAUGCGUAGAUAUCGAGAGGAACACCUGCGGCGAAGGCGGGUUGCUGGGCUGACACUGACGCUGAUGCGCGAAAGCUAGGGGAGCGAACGGGAUUAGAUACCCCGGUAGUCCUAGCCUUAAACGAUGAAUGCUUGGUGUCUGGGGUUUUAUAGUCCCCGGGUGCCGUCGCUAACGCUUUAAGCAUUCCGCCUGGGGAGUACGGUCGCAAGACUG